AUUUCACUGCAGUUUGGCGAUUUUUGGUUUAGUGUUUUACGCGUUAUUAGUGGACGAUAUGAAUAUUUGUGGGGAUGUAUCAUAAACUAUUGGAAAAUGUUAGUUUUACCUUAAAGUAGACCAGGAAGGAGCGAAAAAGGUACGUGCGCAGACUCCAAAACAAUGAAGGAAGAUGUGCGCUUGCGCACUAUACAGGUGUGAGUGAGUCUAAGAAGAAAAGUAGACGUCCUAAACCUGGUCGAGUGGCCUUGGGGAGGGGUCCAGGGCAUGGGGGUCCAGACCCUCCAUUGUCACAUAGAAAACAGCGAGGGCGUGGUCACGAUUUACCCUUUAUGCGAGAACUUGUCGAUAGAUGACCGUGGGACCCACCAGACUCACAGGGCAUGAUCUACUCAAAAACGUCCAUCUUGGAAAAAAGUGAAAUGGAAAGGGUGGGCUUAAAGUAGCAGUAGUUCCAGUGUUGUCGCAAUAUCAUGGAUUCAAAAUCAAAAUGGCUUAUGGCUAAGAAGAUGGAUAAUAUUUAGGUGGUAAUGGUGCAAAAUGGAGUAUCUUACCUUCCAACGAUGACAUCAUCAGUUACAUUCUCCAUUAUAGCAGCAGCUUCUCCAGCAACAAGGGCCAAAAGAACUGGAGCUUUAUAGAGGUUCCAGAAGAGAAAAAGCUCCCCACGACUGGCAGUGGUGCUGCCAACAUGGCCGAACAAGUUGGCUUGAGGGUUCCAGAAAAUACGCUCAAAGCAUAAAACCUGGAACAAAAGGGAUUAUUAUUUAUACAGAGGAUGCUCGGUUUCAUGAGUCUGCAAUUAUAGUAAAGAAUAAAUCAAUUGAAAUGA
This 832-nucleotide long non-coding RNA is filed under the name Anthonomus grandis grandis. Its description in RNAcentral is "uncharacterized LOC126748192". The record is from RNAcentral. Lineage: Eukaryota; Metazoa; Arthropoda; Insecta; Coleoptera; Curculionidae.